Molecule: ribosomal RNA, 349 nt
Filed under: uncultured bacterium
Lineage: Bacteria
Description: bacterial SSU rRNA
Rfam family: Bacterial small subunit ribosomal RNA
Source: RNAcentral
GGGCCCGCACAAGCGGUGGAGCAUGUGGUUUAAUUCGAUGAUACGCGAGGAACCUUACCAGGGCUUAAAUGUAGGAUGCAUUAGCUAGAGAUAGCUAUUUCUUCGGACUUCUUACAAGGUGCUGCAUGGUUGUCGUCAGCUCGUGCCGUGAGGUGUCAGGUUAAGUCCUAUAACGAGCGCAACCCCUGUCGUUAGUUGCCAGCAUGUAAAGAUGGGGACUCUAACGAGACUGCCGGUGUAAACCGCGAGGAAGGUGGGGAUGACGUCAAAUCAUCACGGCCCUUACGUCCUGGCUACACACGUGCUACAAUGGCAGUGACAGAGGGCAGCUACAUGGCAACAUGAUGCG